This is a long non-coding RNA of Betta splendens (Siamese fighting fish), 198 nucleotides long. RefSeq lists it as uncharacterized. The record is from RefSeq and is a predicted model, not a curated record. The transcript is spliced from 2 exons. Lineage: Eukaryota; Metazoa; Chordata; Actinopteri; Anabantiformes; Osphronemidae.
CGCUCUCUCAGCAGCCUCUCGAGCCUCGGUGCUGCUCGCGUUACAAAACUGAAACACCACCACUGCUGCAAAAACAGGCGAGACGCGCAGCUGCCCCAGAUGCCGGAACCGGGGAGCCCGUCCCCGGUCGUCGGAGGAGGAAAAGCGCAGGAAGCAGACGCCGAGGUCUUUCUCUCCGCUCCGUCUCCCCCUCACACA